This 459-nucleotide ribosomal RNA is filed under the name uncultured bacterium. RNAcentral's name for it is "partial 16S ribosomal RNA". It matches the Rfam family "Bacterial small subunit ribosomal RNA", at positions 338 to 795 of the family's 1533-position model. The record is from RNAcentral.
CCUACGGGUGACAGCAGUGAGGAAUAUUGGUCAAUGGGCGCGAGCCUGAACCAGCCAAGUCGCGUGAGGGAAGACGGUCCUAUGGAUUGUAAACCUCUUUUGUCGGGGAGCAAACGACGCCACGCGUGGCGUUCCGCGAGUACCCGAAGAACAAGCAUCGGCUAACUCCGUGCCAGCAGCCGCGGUAAUACGGAGGAUGCGAGCGUUAUCCGGAUUUAUUGGGUUUAAAGGGUGCGCAGGCGGAAGAUCAAGUCAGCGGUAAAAUUGAGAGGCUCAACCUCUUCGAGCCGUUGAAACUGGUUGGCUGGAGUGAGUGAGAGGUAGGCGGAAGGCGUGGUGUAGGGGUGAAAGGCAUAGAUAGAACGCAGAACUCCGAUGGCGAAGGCAGCAUACCGGCGCUCAACUGACGCUCAUGAACGAAAGUGUGGGUAGCGAACAGGAUUAGAUACCCAAGUAGUC